RNAcentral lists this unclassified non-coding RNA (2406 nucleotides) under Hevea brasiliensis (rubber tree). Lineage: Eukaryota; Viridiplantae; Streptophyta; Magnoliopsida; Malpighiales; Euphorbiaceae. The record is from RNAcentral.
UAUUAUACAAGAGUCCUUACAAUCAAAAUCAUUUUCAAAAUUAUAAAAUUUCAAAUUUUAAUUUCAAAUAAACCCUAAUAAGAUAAUAAUAAUAAUCAAACACAAAACAGUCUGGUAGGUGGUAUCAUGGCAAAAUAAUGAAUUGUGUAAUGCUAACUUUGAAAAGUGGAAACUGCAAGUGAGCUGAACUGUGUCCUCGGAUGCUUCAUGUCAGAACUAUCCUUGAAUAAGGAACAACGAAAAUUCACAGGAAUAGGCAAGUAAAAUUAAUGAGAGGUUUCAUUUAACACCAACUACUGGGUCUGACAUUGGGGGCCAUUUAAUAAAUGUGUUGCGUUGCUCUCUCUGCUUAUUUAUAAGCUACAAUAUUUGCCAUUCAUUCUUCACACUAAAUUCCUUCAGCAUUUUGGCUUCCAUGGCCGUUCGUCUUGUUGCAGUGCUGCUCUUUGCUUUGGCUCUUUCUGGGGUUCAGCUCUCGAGUUGCCAUGUCCUCAAAGGGAAGCUCGCUUGCCUUGAUUGCAGUAGCCGUUAUGACUUCUCAGGUCUUUUCUAAUAUAUCUUCAAACUUUUUCUUGUUUCAUGACUCCUAAUCACAAUGCCAUUAGUUUCUAUUAUUCAUCUUCAAUAGAUGAUCUUUUAUUUAUUUAUUUAAUUUCAUUUAACUUCAAUUAGAACUCAAAUAUGAGAUUUUACGGUCUUGAAAAUGACUUCAGUACCAUUAAAUUAAAACUUAUUUUCAAAUGAAAGUCAUUUUCUAGUGUAAAACCUCUCGUUUAGAACUCAAUAGAACUAAAUCAAAAAAGAGGCAAAAUUUUCUUUGCAAUGUUGAAAUCCACUUUAUGUUUCAGGCAUCAAGGUUCUAGUGAAGUGUGAUAAUGCGAAAAGGUUGGCUACAAGUACAACCGAAAGGGAUGGCUCCUUUGAGGUUGAGCUUCCUUCAGAUAGUAGCUCAAGAACUUCAACUACUCCACUGAAUUGUCUAGCCAAGAUUGCUGGUGGUUCAAGUCAGCUCUAUGCCUCAAAGAAGAACAUGGUGUCCAAGAUUGUGAAAACCCAAGAUUCUAGCACAUACACCAUCUCCACUCCUCUUGUGUUUUCCACUACAUCCCCUCCACUUGGGAAGAUAAAGGACAUAGGUUCCUCCAAGACAGUUGAUCUGCCUCUCCCAAGGGAAUGGGGCUUGGCACCUUCUAGCUAUUAUCCUCCCUUCAUUCCCAUCAUUGGAAUCCCUUGACUUGGAACCUUAUAUAGUUGUUAAAUAUAUGUGUGUGUGGCUUUGAAUAUGAAGAAAGGGUGAAUUAAUUUGCUCUAUAUUAUAUGUUUAAUUAAGUGAAUUGUGUUAUGAAUUGAAGCAUGUGAUUCAAAUCACUUAUGCUUAUUUAAGAAUUACAUAUUAUAUGUUUGGAUUUUACUUUUUUUUUUUUAAUUUUUUAACAUAUUAUGACAGCUACGGGAAAUAUGAAGUGCCUGCCUUCUGGAAAUUUAGUAUUUUUACAUGGUGGAUUAUGAUAUAAACUACUAAAUUUUUUUGUAUUGAUUUUGUGCUUGUAGUUGUUGGAGGGCUUCCAAAAGUCAUUCCCAAAGUUGAAAUUUCCUGACUUACCAGAGCGUGGAGACUUUGAUCUAAGAGGUGUCCUGGAGUCUCCCUAUUUCUUCAACUAGUCUGAGCAAUAUACUAAUCUUGACUGAUCUGAAAUUGCACUUCGUACAUCUCUCAUUUAAUUGCAAGGUGAUGGCAGUUUAUUAACUCAUCCCUGUGCAAAUUUGUGAAAGUCACAAGUAUCCAACUGCUCAAUUGAGGAAGAAAAGGCAGAGAAGAAGAGACCUGAGGUAUGCACAACAAUGGGAUCCAACAAGGACAUUGUACCGUACAUAGGUCAAAAGAGAAAAAAAUGCGUAUAACCAUUUGCUGGAUAUGUCCCUCAUGCAAUCCUGGGACUUCUACUCCAAAUUUAGCCAUCAUUUUUGGGUCUGCCUUGGUGGAAGUAAAUGAGGAACUAAGGUAGUGUGAUGUGCAGAAUGGCAUGGAAGAACAGCCUCAAUUAUUACCAAUCAAGUUUUUUCUUUUAAGGUGGCUUUGCACAAAAAGGGAAUCAAAGCUGCGGCAGUAUAGGGACGGGAUAUUUUGUUAUUGGGAAGAUUCCAAUAAAUCAAAGAUGGAUGAGAGAUUUGCUUGCUGAACUGUGCUUCCAUCUUCUGGGAUGCUGACAUUACAAAUCUCAAUAGGUUUCUGAAAACAAACCGGUUUCAAGGGAAAGGUAACAUAGGAAAUUAGGAAUUAUACGGCAUGUAUUCUUUGUGGUAUCUUGCAGCCUCUAUGCUCAUGUUUUACAGGAUUUGUGAUUGCUAUAAUUUAAGAACAAGUACAAUUUAUUGCGAAGAUAAAUAAUACAGGCUCGAUAUUUU